This is a long non-coding RNA of Lycium barbarum (goji berry), 702 nucleotides long. RefSeq lists it as uncharacterized. NCBI's taxonomy places the organism in Eukaryota, Viridiplantae, Streptophyta, Magnoliopsida, Solanales, Solanaceae. The transcript is spliced from 2 exons. The record is from RefSeq and is a predicted model, not a curated record.
UCUCCCGCCCACUCCUCUCUCUCUCCUCCUUUCACCACCACCACCGUAUCCUCACCACAUCGCCGUACCUUCGCCGCUAGACAGCUCCGCCGCCAGCCAUCUUACUUGUUGAAGAAAAGGAGCAAAAGAUUCAAGCUUCCUUUCAGUUCAAUUUCAGGUCAUUGCUGACGGCUGGUUCCAAAUCCAAAACCCUAAGCUCUUUGUUCCGUUCCUCUACUAAAUUAUCAAAACAAUAGAAAUCCGCUACUACACCUUCAACUGCCCAAAAACAAUAUGUAUCUUCCAUUAACUCAACAUCUAAUGUUUCUUCUAAGCCUCUCAGUGAAAUAAUAGCCGAAUGCAUCAACUUUAAUGACUCUGGUCAUGCAGUAUGAAGUUCAAAAAUUUCCCUUGUGGAAGAUUUCACUAUGAUGAAGAGUUUGGAAAAUUAUUUGAAGACAUUAAUCGGUAGGACUAGUUAUUUAUUUCAAACAAGAUCAUUUUAUUUUUUUAGGUUGUGACAUUGAUAUUUUGGAUUAGUACUUUCUUUUAUUUGUUUAGAUUUAAUAAGAUAUUUUUUUAAUGAAUUAAUUGUCUUUUAGCACUUUCCAAUCUUUCGUUGCUUCUAGCCCACUACGAGCUCCCUUAUACUAGUAAUUGUAUUUUCUGAAUGUAGUAGCUUAAUGUUUUAUGUAUUUAUAGUAGUUUGGUGUAUUGUUGGCA